This is a long non-coding RNA of Lagopus leucura (white-tailed ptarmigan), 277 nucleotides long. RefSeq lists it as uncharacterized. The record is from RefSeq and is a predicted model, not a curated record. NCBI's taxonomy places the organism in Eukaryota, Metazoa, Chordata, Aves, Galliformes, Phasianidae. The transcript is spliced from 3 exons.
AGAAACAGAAUUUUCUAUCUUCAUUUCAAUACCAGUACUCAUCUCCAGGACCUCAUGAUGAAGGCCUAGCAUUUCUUGUACCUGUUAUUGCAACUGAUACUUUACAGAAGCGUGAUAUAAGGAGCUCUUCCCUGAUGCUAUAGAUCCUACCAGGGAGUAUUUUUCACUGGAAACCGGACACAGGAAUGCAGGUUUUGGCUGAUUCCUCACUUUCUGCUAGGCUCUGUGCUGGUGUGAAGUUUCCUCUCUGUUGGGGAGCUCUGCUCUGUCCUUCCCC